RNAcentral lists this ribosomal RNA (492 nucleotides) under uncultured bacterium. Its description in RNAcentral is "partial 16S ribosomal RNA". It matches the Rfam family "Bacterial small subunit ribosomal RNA", at positions 29 to 507 of the family's 1533-position model. The record is from RNAcentral.
AGUGAACGCUGGCGGUAGGCCUAACACAUGCAAGUCGAACGGCAGCACAGUAAGAGCUUGCUCUUACGGGUGGCGAGUGGCGGACGGGUGAGGAAUACAUCGGAAUCUACUUUUUCGUGGGGGAUAACGUAGGGAAACUUACGCUAAUACCGCAUACGACCUACGGGUGAAAGCAGGGGAUCUUCGGACCUUGCGCGAUUGAAUGAGCCGAUGUCGGAUUAGCUAGUUGGCGGGGUAAAGGCCCACCAAGGCGACGAUCCGUAGCUGGUCUGAGAGGAUGAUCAGCCACACUGGAAGUGAGACGCGGUCCAGACUCCUACGAGAGGCAGCAGUGGGGAAUAUUGGACAAAGGGCGCAAGCCUGAUCCAGCCAUACCGCGUGGGUGAAGAAAGCCUUCGGGUUGUAAAGCCCUUUUGUUGGGAAAGAAAAGCAGCAGGUUAAUACCCCGCUGUUCUGACGGUACCCAAAGAAUAAGCACCGGCUAACUUCGUG